This 497-nucleotide ribosomal RNA is filed under the name uncultured bacterium. RNAcentral's name for it is "partial 16S ribosomal RNA". It matches the Rfam family "Bacterial small subunit ribosomal RNA", at positions 28 to 507 of the family's 1533-position model. The record is from RNAcentral.
GAUGAACGCUGGCGGCGUGCCUAAUACAUGCAAGUCGAGCGAACGGACGAGAAGCUUGCUUCUCUGAUGUUAGCGGCGGACGGGUGAGUAACACGUGGAUAACCUACCUAUAAGACUGGGAUAACUUCGGGAAACCGGAGCUAAUACCGGAUAAUAUUUUGAACCGCAUGGUUCAAAAGUGAAAGACGGUCUUGCUGUCACUUAUAGAUGGAUCCGCGCUGCAUUAGCUAGUUGGUAAGGUAACGGCUUACCAAGGCAACGAUGCAUAGCCGACCUGAGAGGGUGAUCGGCCACACUGGAACUGAGACACGGUCCAGACUCCUACGGGUGGCAGCAGUAGGGAAUCUUCCGCAAUGGGCGAAAGCCUGACGGAGCAACGCCGCGUGAGUGAUGAAGGUCUUCGGAUCGUAAAACUCUGUUAUUAGGGAAGAACAUAUGUGUAAGUAGCUGUGCACAUCUUGACGGUACCUAAUCAGAAAGCCACGGCUAACUACGUG